Molecule: ribosomal RNA, 253 nt
Filed under: uncultured bacterium
Lineage: Bacteria
Description: partial 16S ribosomal RNA
Rfam family: Bacterial small subunit ribosomal RNA
Source: RNAcentral
CACGUAGGGCGCAAGCGUUGUCCGGAAUUAUUGGGCGUAAAGAGCUCGUAGGUGGUUUGCUGCGUCCGCUGUGAAAACCCAAGGCUUAACCUUGGGCUUGCAGUGGAUACGGGCAGACUAGAGGUAGGUAGGGGAGAAUGGAAUUCCCGGUGUAGCGGUGAAAUGCGCAGAUAUCGGGAGGAACACCGGUGGCGAAGGCAGGUCUCUGGGCCACUACUGACGCUGAGAAGCGAAAGCAUGGGGAGCGAACAGG